UGCGCGUCUCCUCCCCCGCCCCCCUCCCCGCAGUCCACAGCCACUCUGUCUCGCGUGGGGAUCCCCCUCCCCGGCGCGGCCGGUGCCCCCCGUCCUUGUAGCCGUCGUUCCGUCCCUGUCCAAAAGCACUGCCAUCCCUCCCCGCGAGUCCCCGCCGGUUUAAGAGCGGAGAAAUCCUUUCCAUCCCGUUAAACCGCCGACCGGGCUGAGCGAAGUCCCCCCCGGGAGACCUGACCCGGCCCUAUCGCAUCGCCUGCUCGGGCAGGAGGGAGAAGCCCCGGUAGCUCGGUGCGGCAGUCCUCGAGUGAGCUGCUGGGAUUUGGCGUGGGUGUUACUCCGGUAAAACCCCCGAGGUAGGGAGGAUGCUGCGGGGGUGCCGGCUUGUUCCCCGCCGCCACAUCUCCAAACUUCGGGGAAACCCCUUUCGGUGUUACCCCGUGUGUGUCCCCCCCCUCUCUCCCUCUUUCUGCCGGGACUGGCCUCUUAUCCCGGCGAGGGAAAUAAAGACCUCUCAGGCAAAUCCUCACUGCCACUGCAGACUGCUUCUGGUAUGAACUCAGCCUCCUCUGCUGUACUGCACAAUCACAUGGACUGGCACCUCUCACAUCUCCUUUGCAAAGGCUGAACUGAUGGUGCAAAGCAUGAAGCAGGGCUAAGUCAGGCUCCAUGAAUUUUUCUCCUCCAUGCAAGCCCAGUCUGAUGCUGUCCAUACCCCAGCCUUUGCUCUAUACCCAUCAGCAGGUGAGAACCAGGCCUGGUACCACCUGCUCUGUACUCACUCUGCACUCAGCCAACGAACUGCCAGGUUUUGAGGUGGCCUUCAGUGCCUGCCCCUCUCUCACCCAGGACUUGGACGUGGCACACGCCAAGGAGCUGGAAGAAGGGGCAGCACUGUGUCCAUCGGAGCCUUCGUGCCCUCCUCUUCUUCCUCCCAACUUGUCUUCAUCCGCUGGCCACUGUGGCAUGCACCAACUCUACCUUCUGCCAGCAAGUGGAAAGUUGAGCUUUCAAACAAAUAUUGCCUGGCCCAUUCUUGUUUAAUAAAUGGGUUGUUCAGUUUCA
Phalacrocorax carbo (great cormorant) is the source of this 1062-nucleotide non-coding RNA. NCBI's taxonomy places the organism in Eukaryota, Metazoa, Chordata, Aves, Suliformes, Phalacrocoracidae. The record is from RefSeq and is a predicted model, not a curated record.